This 552-nucleotide long non-coding RNA is filed under the name Lepidothrix coronata (blue-crowned manakin). RNAcentral's name for it is "lncRNA (ENSLCOG00000011236.1)". Lineage: Eukaryota; Metazoa; Chordata; Aves; Passeriformes; Pipridae. The record is from RNAcentral.
AUUUCAUCAAAGAACAUUUCCUAAAAAACCUGAUCUCAGUACCUGCCAUCUCUAGAAACUUUGUUCCUGAACUGCUUGUUUUGCAAGGUGAUAUAUGCAGGGCUGGGGGCGGAGGGUGGAAAGACUUGAUGUGCAUUGUCAACUAAAUUAAUGAACUGUCAUCUAUCCAGUGAGUUUACUGAAGAGCCUACAGAAAUGUGAACAAAUGGGAUAUCACCAGAGCCACAGAUGCUCAGUGCUACCUGAUGGCAGCACCAGAAUCACCAGUACGGCUUUCCCAAAUCCUCUCUGAAUAUCAUCCAAGAGAUGGGAAUGUUCACAUUUUAAGGAGGUGCUGUUUUGUUUUCCUGGGUUUUUCCACACAAACUGAGGAAACAUUGUGUCUGGAAAAUUACAAGGUCAGCUUGUGCCAGAAGCUAUUGCUGGAGAAACAGCCCAGUGACGCCAUUAAACAGGCCACAGUUAAUUAGUAGCAAACCCUGAAGAUGUUUCUUACAUUAUGACACAGAGAGAUAGUGGAGAAAGCAAGAAAAAGAAAAAUCUGGAUAGGGG